UACGUAGGGUGCGAGCGUUGUCCGGAAUUAUUGGGCGUAAAGAGCUUGUAGGCGGUUUGUCGCGUCUGCUGUGAAAAUCCGGGGCUCAACCCCGGACUUGCAGUGGGUACGGGCAGACUAGAGUGUGGUAGGGGAGACUGGAAUUCCUGGUGUAGCGGUGAAAUGCGCAGAUAUCAGGAGGAACACCGAUGGCGAAGGCAGGUCUCUGGGCCGUAAACUGACG
Molecule: ribosomal RNA, 223 nt
Filed under: uncultured bacterium
Lineage: Bacteria
Description: partial 16S ribosomal RNA
Rfam family: Bacterial small subunit ribosomal RNA
Source: RNAcentral